Molecule: ribosomal RNA, 753 nt
Filed under: bacterium L14(2011b)
Lineage: Bacteria
Description: bacterial SSU rRNA
Rfam family: Bacterial small subunit ribosomal RNA
Source: RNAcentral
GAACCUUAGCUUGCUAAGGGGAUUAGUGGCGAACGGGUGAGUAAUAUAUCGGAACGUGCCUUGUAAUGGGGGAUAACUAGUCGAAAGAUUAGCUAAUACCGCAUACGCCCUGAGGGGGAAAGUAGGGGAUCUUCGGACCUUACGUUAUAAGAGCGGCCGAUAUCUGAUUAGCUAGUUGGUGGGGUAAUGGCNNACCAAGGCGACGAUCAGUAGCUGGUCUGAGAGGACGACCAGCCACACUGGAACUGAGACACGGUCCAGACUCCUACGGGAGGCAGCAGUGGGGAAUUUUGGACAAUGGGCGCAAGCCUGAUCCAGCCAUUCCGCGUGAGUGAAGAAGGCCUUCGGGUUGUAAAGCUCUUUCGCAAGGGAAGAAAACUUACAUUCUAAUAAAGUGUGAGGCUGACGGUACCUUGAUAAGAAGCACCGGCUAACUACGUGCCAGCAGCCGCGGUAAUACGUAGGGUGCGAGCGUUAAUCGGAAUUACUGGGCGUAAAGCGUGCGCAGGCGGUUUGGCAAGUCAGAUGUGAAAUCCCCGAGCUCAACUUGGGAACUGCGUUUGAAACUGCCAGACUAGAAUAUGUCAGAGGGGGGUAGAAUUCCACGUGUAGCAGUGAAAUGCGUAGAGAUGUGGAGGAAUACCAAUGGCGAAGGCAGCCCCCUGGGAUAAUAUUGACGCUCAUGCACGAAAGCGUGGGGAGCAAACAGGAUAGAUACCCUGGUAGUCCCGCCCUAACGAGUCUACUAGUUGU